AAAUAUUAAAAGCGUUUUCUAGGAUCACUACCAAACACUCUUAAUUUGAUAUCUAUCACACAAUAAGUUCACACCACUCAUAUACAACAACAAUCAAGACUGCACCAUUUAUCCUCAUCUUCAUGCUUACUCUUCCUUGGUUUGACACUUUUUGCACCAAAUGGAUCUCCCAUUGAUGGUAAAUUUAACUUCAUUUCUACCUGGAAUCAAACAGGUAGGACCAAUAGCUCAAACACCAUCUUACCAAAUAAUGGGGUCCCUUUCUGCUCUCCUGCGCAUGUAUCAUUAUGAAAUUAAUAUAAUGCAAAUAAAUAAUAAGGUGAGAAAAAAAAAAGAGGAAAAUGAAAAAAAAAUAAUAAUAAUAGUAAUAACCAUUUAACAAAUCUCAUAAUAAUGAAGAGGAAACAAGAAUCAGAACAUAUUAGGAAAUAUUUUGUAACAUACAAAGAACUAAGUGAUUCUAUACUUUCCACGGAUGAUAUGAAAAUGGAAAAAAAAAAUAACAAAAAAAGGUGUGGCAUUUGUUUUGACUUUACAAAUGGUUGGGAAAAACCUAAUAAACAAGGGAAAACCAAAAAGAAAAUGAUGAAAGCAAAGAAAACCAUAGAGAAACUUUAUGGUCAGAUUUGAUCAUAAAAAAUGAAAAAAAAAAUAGUUAAGAAAAGAAAGAAAGAGGAAAACAAAUUUGAGCCAAUAAAGUUUUCAUCCACCUUUCCUACAUGAUCAUUCACUUUAAAUAUAAAAUCAAGAGUUUGAAAAUGUAUGCACUACUACUCAUUGUAUAUCUUUCAUCCUUACCUUUUUCUUGUCAUAAGUAGACAUUAAAGAAUGGGUAAUCUAUUUUGACUUUCUCUCUUUAUUUUCUCAUAUUUUUUAAGAUGCAAAUGAAUCCCUCAAGCUUUUUAAAACCCAAAGAAAACCUAAAUAAUAAAUAUAAACAAAGGGGAUUCUAACAUUAAUAGAAGUGUUGAGUGUAGUGCAAAUGCCUCAAACUAGCAUCAAUUUCAUGAUUUGAGGCCAAAAUUUGCCAUAAAAUAGGAAUCAAAUAUGUUAGAAUGGCAUGUCAAUUACUUUCUCUUACAUCAAAUUUUUUUUUCCUACAAUUGAUAAAAUCUUUCAAAUGCUUACCUAGGAAAAACCCCAAAAAUUGGGGAAUGGUUCUCAAUAAAUCCGUUGAAGAUGAUGAAAAGAGACAUCUUCUCUUCCUCCAUUGGAGAUGAUGAAAAACAAUUUCCUCUCUUCACCUAACAACUACAACUGCUAGACUAAAAGAAGAUAAAGUCUGAGCCACCUUUAAAUUAAAAGUAAUGUCUAAAGAAAAUUUCUUGAUUUGUGUAGAAGGUGCUGAUAAGAGAAUAUUUGCUCCUUUUUUUAUAGAAGAAAAG
RNAcentral lists this long non-coding RNA (1385 nucleotides) under Vitis vinifera (wine grape). Its description in RNAcentral is "long non-coding RNA (VVIN_LNC006272)". Lineage: Eukaryota; Viridiplantae; Streptophyta; Magnoliopsida; Vitales; Vitaceae. The record is from RNAcentral.